CCUUGUGGUAGCACUGUUUUCCCGGGUGGUCGCUCCAUGUUUCCAUUAACAUAAUGAUCUUAUCAUGAACAUAAAUAACAUAACAGAAUAAUAGGAACAUGGAUAUAGGGAAAUAUUAACCUGAAACCACAUAAUGCAAUAGCAUAACUACCCAAGUGAAUCGGGGGUAAACAAGGUAAACAGGAUAAACAGACUAGGAUAACCUAUUGGGUCCCAUCAAAAUUUAAACCUAUGCAUGAAUAAGUGAUAAUAAAGAACAUUAUUGGGUAACAAAAGUGGAUCAAGGGCACAACAUGCCUGGCACAUGAGAUUCCAGUUACCAGGGUGAUUCUUCGGAUCCUCGAAACCUCGCGCUAGUCGUAGCAAUACAAACAAAUAGUGUAUAGACAAAAUUAACAUUACACCAAACAUAAGUAUAAACUGAAUAAUAAUAAUCUAUAUGUUGCUACGAGAUCGUGGGAACGAGAACCACUAAAAUCGAAGUUACAAUUAAGGAGUUAUGAUUUUAUAGAUAAUUUAUGUGAUUAAAAUGUUAAACUAUAUUAUAAAUUGGUUAAUAUAAAUCAUAUAAGAGGUUAUUCUAUAAAUAAUUAUCUCAACUUAAAUCUAAGUUAUAAAUUGAUCAUAGAUCAUUUUCUAUUACAUUGAUAAGCAGAUUAACAAGACUAACCAACAUAAGUUAAAUAAAAAUCUAAUUAUAAAAUAAUGAAACAUGGUAUAAUAAAUGUUGUUAUUGCAUAGUAAAUAUUCACACGAGACUAACGCAACUGGAACGGGUCAAUUCGGAUUUAAAACGAGGAAGUUAUGAAUUUCCUAAGGUUUUAUGUAUUUGAUUAGGAUUAAUUAGGAUAUAAAUUUUAAAGUAGAUUUCAUGACAAAUCAGUGGCACUAGUUGUUAAACAAUAAUAUUAUAAAAUUAUAGGAACUGGAAUGGAUCAAUUUGAACUCAAUAUGAAUUUUCUAGGGAAUAUACAAGUUGUAGUAAUUAUUUUUACAUUAAAAAUCAUUUCUAAAAUGAAUUUCACUACCUCUGGUCUGCGCGCAUAAAAACAGAGAAACCUGGGGGUCUCUACGCAAGAAACACCAGACACAGUGCCAAAGCGUGUACGGCGGGUUAAAUCUUAUGAAGCACAGGGGCUCUUUUGUGAAAACACGUGGCCGAAGGAGUAUCGGGGUUUUACGAUCGUCCGGUUAGAAAUCCAUGGUCCAGAUCAGAUCCAAGCUUAAGUGAACUGGUACGCUAUGCCUACCCUCCGAUCACAAUCCGGCAACCAAGAUUUCAUACUCUAACAGGUCAGCGACUCAUCCAAUCCUAGCCGUCCAUAGUUGAUCGCACGGCCAGGGGUGCACCAACCCUAGAUCUAAUCACCGCCACCCAAUCCGGAAUGGACGGCCUAGAGGGCGCCUUCCUCCCUAGGGCCGAGCCAUGGCGGCGCCAGAGCUCCCCCCACGGCGGAGCCACGCCAGCGCAAACCACUCUUAGAUUUUGGUGCCCGAUCGACCACACGGCCCGGCGCUAAACCAUCCUAAGGGCAUAGCGAACAAUCGGCGCGACUUCUUACUGAAGAUCGAAGCAUGGAGAUUCCUGGUCACGCGAGCGACGGUGUUGCUGUGGAGAUCAUGACGCUUGUGAGCAAUUGGGGCGGCACCAGUGGUCGAAGACGGCGAACACGUUGGCGAGGAGACGCAGAUGGGGACGACAUCGGACUUGAACUCGCCCAUGACGUUCUGCUGUCCGCCCGCGCGCGUUCUUGGCGAAGCCGGACAUGGGGGCGGAUCCACUCUCCCUCUCCUCUUAAUUCUCUCUCUCCGGCGAGGGUCUCUGCUCCCCGAGGUAUCCGCGAUAGAGGGUGAAUCCUCCCAGUCGUCGACCCCGGCGUGGACGAUGUUGUGACCGACGGCGACAGAUCACCCCGCAAACCUCUCUCCCUCACGGCGGCCAUGGCACACGACGG
This 1955-nucleotide long non-coding RNA is filed under the name Zea mays. RNAcentral describes it as "long non-coding RNA (ZMAY_LNC003305)". Lineage: Eukaryota; Viridiplantae; Streptophyta; Magnoliopsida; Poales; Poaceae. The record is from RNAcentral.